GAAUACGUAGUUCAACGGUAGAGCAUAUGACUUUUAAUCAUUCGGUUGUUGGUUCGAAUCCAAUCGUAUUCA
RNAcentral lists this transfer RNA (72 nucleotides) under Chrysochromulina parva. RNAcentral's name for it is "tRNA-Lys". It matches the Rfam family "tRNA". Rfam says of the family: Transfer RNA (tRNA) molecules are approximately 80 nucleotides in length. Their secondary structure includes four short double-helical elements and three loops (D, anti-codon, and T loops). Further hydrogen bonds mediate the characteristic L-shaped molecular structure. tRNAs have two regions of fundamental functional importance: the anti-codon, which is responsible for specific mRNA codon recognition, and the 3' end, to which the tRNAs corresponding amino acid is attached (by aminoacyl-tRNA synthetases). tRNAs cope with the degeneracy of the genetic code in two manners: having more than one tRNA (with a specific anti-codon) for a particular amino acid; and 'wobble' base-pairing, i.e. permitting non-standard base-pairing at the 3rd anti-codon position. RNAcentral also lists the same sequence under 1 other name. Lineage: Eukaryota; Haptophyta; Prymnesiales; Chrysochromulinaceae. The record is from RNAcentral.